AGGCUGAAACUCGCCUACAUGAAGCUGGAGUUACUAGUAAUCGCAGAUCAGAAUGCUGCGGUGAAUGCGUUCCCGGGUCUUGUACACACCGCCCGUCACACCACGGAAGUUGGGGCGCCCGAAGCCACUUAGCUAACCCUUUGGGAAGCGAGUGUCGAAGGUGAAAUCAAUAACUGGGGUGAAGUCGUAACAAGGUAAC
This 199-nucleotide ribosomal RNA is filed under the name uncultured bacterium. RNAcentral describes it as "partial 16S ribosomal RNA". It matches the Rfam family "Bacterial small subunit ribosomal RNA", at positions 1302 to 1500 of the family's 1533-position model. The record is from RNAcentral.